This 463-nucleotide ribosomal RNA is filed under the name uncultured bacterium. RNAcentral describes it as "bacterial SSU rRNA". It matches the Rfam family "Bacterial small subunit ribosomal RNA", at positions 917 to 1382 of the family's 1533-position model. The record is from RNAcentral.
GGGCCCGCACAAGCAGUGGAGUAUGUGGUUUAAUUCGAAGCAACGCGAAGAACCUUACCAGGUUUUGACAUCCACUGAAUCCUUUAGAGAUAGAGGAGUGCCCUUUCGGGGGAGCAGUGAGACAGGUGGUGCAUGGUUGUCGUCAGCUCGUGUCGUGAGAUGUUGGGUUAAGUCCCGCAACGAGCGCAACCCUUGUCAAUAGUUACUACGAGAAGAGGACUCUAUUGAGACUGCCGUUGAGAAAACGGAGGAAGGUGGGGAUGACGUCAAAUCAUCAUGCCCCUUAUAACCUGGGCUACACACGUACUACAAUGGCCGAAACAGAGGGAAGCGAAACCGCGAGGCGGAGCGAACCCCCAAAAGCGGUCUCAGUUCGGAUUGCAGGCUGAAACUCGCCUGUAUGAAGAUGGAAUUGCUAGUAAUCGCGGAUCAGCAUGCCGCGGUGAAUACGUUCCCGGGCCUU